CAGUAGCCGCGGUAAUACGAAGGGGGCUAGCGUUGUUCGGAGUUACUGGGCGUAAAGCGCGUGUAGGCGGGUCUUUAAGUCAGAGGUGAAAUGCCAAGGCUCAACCUUGGAACUGCCUUUGAUACUGGAGAUCUUGAGUCCGGGAGAGGUGAGUGGAAUUGCGAGUGUAGAGGUGAAAUUCGUAGAUAUUCGCAAGAACACCAGUGGCGAAGGCGGCUCACUGGCCCGGAACUGACGCUGAGACGCGAAAGCGUGGGGAGCAAACAGGAUUAGAUACCCCCGUAGUCCCUGUCUCUUAUAC
RNAcentral lists this ribosomal RNA (301 nucleotides) under uncultured bacterium. Its description in RNAcentral is "partial 16S ribosomal RNA". It matches the Rfam family "Bacterial small subunit ribosomal RNA", at positions 509 to 807 of the family's 1533-position model. The record is from RNAcentral.